AAUAGCCUGACGGCUGAACCAGCAACUUGGAGGAAUGUAUAGCAAUAGCUAAUUGCGCUGAUUGUAAGAUCGACUAUGUCGAAUAAAGUUCUAGAUAGAAUUAUGAUAAUGACAUUGUCUAUCUAUGUGUCUUGGCCAAAUUACGUGCCAGCAGCCGCGGUAAUACGUUAAAGACUAGUGUUAUUCAUCUUUAAUAGGUUUAAAGGGUACCUAGACAGUAAAUCAAGCCUGAGGGACUAAUAUACUAGAGUUUGAUAUGAGGAAGUAUGAAAGUACUGUUGGUGUAGAGAUGAAAUUCAAUGAUACCAAAUAUGGCACAGGUAUAGGCGAAAGCAUCUUCUUAUGUAAUAGCUUAGUGUAUCGAUUAGGAUUAGAUACCCUAGUAGUCUAAGCAGAAAAUUAUGAGUGUCAUAGGCUAUUUUGGUCUAUAAAUGAAAGUGUAAGCAUUCCACCUCAAGAGUAAUUUGGCAACAUUGGAACUGAAAUCAUUAGACCGUUUCUGAAACCAGUAGUGAAGUAUGUUGUUUAAUUUGAUGACCCGCAAAAAACCUUACCAUGUAUGUUUACAAGCGUUGCACGGCUGUCUUCAGUUAAUGUCGUGAGAUUUUGGUUAGUUCCAUUAAAUUAACGUAAACCCGUACUUUAUUUAUUUAUAAAGUAGUUCACCGCUAUAUUGGAAAUGAUAAUAGGGAAUAAGACAAGUCAUCAUGGCCUAUAUAUU
RNAcentral lists this ribosomal RNA (721 nucleotides) under Bryobilimbia sp. Kanz & Printzen 5459. RNAcentral's name for it is "SSU rRNA". It matches the Rfam family "Bacterial small subunit ribosomal RNA", at positions 370 to 1208 of the family's 1533-position model. Lineage: Eukaryota; Fungi; Ascomycota; Lecanoromycetes; Lecideales; Lecideaceae. The record is from RNAcentral.